UGGAUCACAGGACCCCUUUACACUCAUAAAUAAAUUAUUGAUGUACCAGAGAGCCUGACCCUGACCCAAAAUAAAUUCCCAGGAGACGUAUUUCCUGGGUUUUGAAUUUGCCGUAACAGACACGAGCAUUCUCGCACCAGUUUGGUGAUCAUGUAUGAUACUGCAAAUAGGA
RNAcentral lists this small nucleolar RNA (172 nucleotides) under Aotus nancymaae (Ma's night monkey). RNAcentral's name for it is "Small Cajal body specific RNA 16 (ENSANAG00000011468.1)". It matches the Rfam family "Small Cajal body specific RNA 16", at positions 25 to 187 of the family's 187-position model. Rfam says of the family: scaRNAs are a specific class of small nuclear RNAs which localise to the Cajal bodies and guide the modification of RNA polymerase II transcribed spliceosomal RNAs U1, U2, U4, U5 and U12. ACA47 belongs to the H/ACA box class of guide RNAs as it has the predicted hairpin-hinge-hairpin-tail structure, the conserved H/ACA-box motifs and is found associated with GAR1. The record is from Rfam by way of RNAcentral. Lineage: Eukaryota; Metazoa; Chordata; Mammalia; Primates; Aotidae.